CCUACGGGAGGCAGCAGUGGGGAAUAUUGCACAAUGGGCGAGACCCUGAUGCAGCGACGCCGCGUGAGUGAAGAAGUAUUUCGGUAUGUAAAGCUCUAUCAGCAGGGAAGAAAAUGACGGUACCUGAUUAAGAAGCCACGGCUAACUACGUGACAGCAGCCGCGGUAAUACGUAGGGAGCAAGCGUUAUCCGGAUUUACUGGGUGUAAAGGGAGCGUAGACGGGAGGACAAGUCUGGAGUGAAAUGCCGGGGCUUAACCCCGGAACUGCUUUGGAAACUGUGCAGCUAGAGUGCAGGAGAGGUAAGUGGAAUUCGUGGUGUAGCGGUGAAAUGCGUAGAUAUUACGAGGAACACCGAUUGCGAAGGCAGCUUACUGGACUGUAACUGACGUUGAGGCUCGAAAGCGUGGGGAGCAAACAGGAUUAGAUACCCCAGUAGUC
This 440-nucleotide ribosomal RNA is filed under the name uncultured bacterium. RNAcentral's name for it is "partial 16S ribosomal RNA". It matches the Rfam family "Bacterial small subunit ribosomal RNA", at positions 338 to 795 of the family's 1533-position model. The record is from RNAcentral.